AGUCUCUCUCUAGCUUUGGAGAGAGACGGACCUAACUGCCUGAAGGAGCAAAGGGUACUGUGGACAGAGCAGUGCUGGGGAGCUCAGGUCAGGUGACCUCCCAAGCUGUGGCCUGACAGGAAGGCCUAGAGAGCCUAAACACAGGGUGCAGGCUCAAGAGGGAGAAACCCCCAAGAGCAGUACUCCUCUAUCGGGGAAAGAACCUCUUUCAAGAGCCAGAGCACAGUUUCCAGUGAGAUGCAUGUGGAAGGGUGACAGGGACCUAUCCAAUAUAGCCUAGAUAACCUGAGUGCAGGCAUCAGAUGGCUCCAGCAUAAAAACAGGACAAGACAAUUUAUUAUCUACAGUUCAGAAAUGCCGACCCUUAUGGAUACUCCUGGCCUAGGUGGAAGAAGCUCUCUGAAACCAUCUUGGGCAAAUUACAGAAAAAACAGAAGAAAAGGAACAGGAACAGCAACAAAAAAGUGUGAAAAGCUACUUCCCAUGGAAAAAAUAUUUGGAAAGUAAGAAUAAUAAAUAAAUAAAAGGAAGGAUCCAUCAUUCUGCCCUGGACAUAAAUCGGAGCACAGAAGACAGUGAAGAGAGAUAACUCAACCAAAACCUAAGACGAGAGAAAGAGAGACAGGAUGGAUUCAAAAUUGCAGGUUGCCAUAUGAGAAUUGAGGGACAAGGACAAAACCUUGCCAAUUCACAAAAUACAACUGAAGAAUAUGAAAUUCCUACAGGUUCCAGGAGAAUCCUCUUGAACUCUCAGAAAAGAAUUUACCAGAAUUGACCUUGACUGUAUGGGUAAAAGUUUGUGAAAUAAUGAAACAAAUGGGGGGAAAUGCCUAGUCGACUUAAGCAACUUUCGUAAUAUUAUCCAAGAAAAAACACUGGGUAACACAAGGUACAAGGAAUCAAUGUACAUAGCCCUCCUGGGGAAGAAGGUUAGAACUUCAAUGAAGUGACUUUGAGCAGGAGGGUGCAGCAAACCUGUCAUUUAGAAGAGAAAUGAAAGGAUCUGAGACCUGUUGGUGGACACAGCCAUGCUGAGGAAAAAGGGAAUUCUGGAGGCCUGAAAUAAGAUGCAUAUUGCAAUGCUAAUAAAUGCCUGUUACUGAA
Molecule: long non-coding RNA, 1104 nt
Organism: Dermochelys coriacea (leatherback sea turtle)
Lineage: Eukaryota; Metazoa; Chordata; Testudines; Dermochelyidae
Exons: 3
Source: RefSeq, a predicted model, not a curated record